Chelonoidis abingdonii (Abingdon island giant tortoise) is the source of this 309-nucleotide non-coding RNA. Lineage: Eukaryota; Metazoa; Chordata; Testudines; Testudinidae. The record is from RefSeq and is a predicted model, not a curated record.
AAGAAUACAAAUUUAAUUGUUAAAUUUGUAAAGUCCUCAUUUGCAUCUCUUUCAGCAAGACCACAAAGUGCUUUCAUUAAAUGACCUACAGAAGAAAAAUAGUUGGUUUUCCGUCUUCUUUAUAUAUCAUAAAAAAGUAAGGCAUGAAGUAGUAUCAGGAAUGUCAAUUUCUUUUCUGGUUUUACUGUACAACUCAUAUGUUUCGGAUGUGGACUAUAAACUCUUUCAGCCCUCAGCUGAGGGGCAGCACUGUUGCUUCUUUAACAACUGCUUUUCUCUCAAAUUGUUUAUUCAGGCAGUUAAAAAAAA